This is a non-coding RNA of Heterocephalus glaber (naked mole-rat), 4300 nucleotides long. The record is from RefSeq and is a predicted model, not a curated record. Lineage: Eukaryota; Metazoa; Chordata; Mammalia; Rodentia; Bathyergidae.
CUCAUAUUGGGUGCAUUUGUUUUUUGUUUCUCUCCAUGAGGAUUUUUUUUCUCUCCUUUCCCUUAUUCUACAGGAACUCUGGGAUUCUUCACAAGACGCCAUAGAGGGGCUUCCUGGCCCUGCCUUGGGGAACGGGGGUAAAGGAAUGUCCAACUGCAGUAGACUUUUUUUCUUUCCUUCUUGUGGUAGGCUUUUGUUUUUCUUCCAGCUACAAUAGACAUUUUUUUUCUCUUUUGUUUUGCUUCGGCUCACUCCACAGGAGGUCAAAAUGUGACAGUAUUGCUGAAAGCAAAGGACAAGGAGAAUCUGAAUCAAUAUGGAGCGUGCUGUUUAAAUAAUCACUUGGAGUCAGUUGCUGUAGUGAAACUUAAAACCUGAUCAUUGAAGAAGCCUGCAAUUUAGUAGAAAACACGGUGCACCAGGAUCUGCUGCUCCAGCUGCAUACUGAAGAUUCCAGUCUCUUUUUUUAAAAUACUCUUACACUUGUACUUAGUUUAGUCCUAUAAUUCAUCCCUUAAACCAACUUUGCAAAGUUGUGUUUUUAAAAAAAAAAUAUUAUAGAUCUAUACCUACCCACAAUUCCCAAUUGUUCACCAUGGUCUUAUAUAACACUGCUUACCCAUAAUUUGUGGGAAAUGACAUGUACUGCAUAAAUGAGUUUUCUGGUGAAAUCUUUAUCUUUUGAUCUCAUUGCACGUUUCAGAAUUUUGAGUUGUUUCAAUUCUGAAAACCGUGCUGUUAACUGAGAGCAGGGUGUCUGUGGCUAGUUGCUGUUUUAAUAUUAUUUUGCUACUAUUGUCAUUUAUCUCUUUCUAAGGAUAGAUCCUUCUUUUCUCUUUGCUCUCUUCUCUCCUCUCCUCCUCUUUCCUCUAUCUUUGUUUUUCUGUCUUUCCUAUUUAUAUGUGUAUGUAAUUAGAAGUGUCCAUUAGUGCCAAUUUAUCAGGUUCUGGUUAAUUUGAAUUUUACUGUCACCAGACAAAUAACCUCAGCUUUAGAAACAUCUGAAAUACAUUCCCUUAUAUUUCCUCACUUAGUUACUAGUCCUUCUACAUAAACAAAAAAUCACAAAGCAUUAUCUCCCAAAUAUUUGUGAAAACACUUUAUUAAUAACUGUCAAAAUUGCCUCUCUAAACUGGGUGUGGUGGCGCACGCCUGUAAUCCCAGCACUCGGGAGGCUGAGGCAGAAGGAUCGCCAUGAGUUUGAGGCCAGCCUGGGCUACAUAGUGAGUUCAGCGCCAGCCUGAACUACGCAGCGAGACUCUGUCUCAAAAAAACAAUUGCCUCUCUACUUACAUUUGCCAACUUAACAGUGGUUCUGAACAUAUAAGAUCUCUUUAGUUAUUAAGAGAGAGUAGAGCCUAUAGGAUACAAAAAGGAGGGCAAAUUUAACAACGAUUUGCACAGUUCCUUGGCCCUAGUCCUUAGGCAUACCAAAAAGACAUCACUGCCACCAUUAGUUCAUUUAGCAAAUUGUUUUAAAAAACCAACCAACCGUAGACAAAUUAUCACAUCAAUAGCCAUGAAGAGGAGAGAAGAAAUUAUUCCAAAUAAAGGAGUACUUUUAGCCAAGGCAGUGGUCCAGAGCCCAAGCUUUGCCAUCAGAUAGAUUUGAGCUCAAGUCCUGAUUCCACUUACUGUGUAGUCUUGGAAGUUGCUUGUCAUACCUUGCCUCUGUAAGCCUCAGGUUGAUCAUGUCUAUCUCAAAGGUCUGUUAUCAGGAUUAAAUGUGGUUGGUAUAUGAAGCACUCACUCAUUCAGAAAACAUUUAUUGAUCUACUACCAUGUAUCCCAGACAAUGAGCUUUGUACUGGUAACACAGAGAUUAAGGCCAAAGGCCUGCUUUCAAGGAAUCCAUGAGCCAAGGAAUUCACAAUUAAAACAGCUAAGUAAACAGGAAAUUACAUUUCACUGCCUGCUGCGCAAGCACAAGGACCCAAGUUCAAUCCCCGGUACAAAAAAAAAAAAGAAAAAGAAAAUUACAACACAGUGUAAAGUGAGCUCAGCCUCAGAGGAGCUCACUAACUCAGAUCAGGAUAGGGAUGGUUAAAAAAAAAAAUUUACAAGAGGAGGUAGUCAUCAAGACACUUGAAAAGAACAGAAAUAGAACUUAACUUCCAAGGUUUGAAGCUACUUUGUAGUUUCUAGAGAAACAAAAAUUUUAAUCUGUAGAUGGAUUUUUGUUGUUAUUGUUGUUAUUUUUCAUAUGUGUGGUUGUUUAGUUUAUUUCAAAGUCAGAAAAACAGAGUAGGGGAGGAUUACCCUAUUUCUCAGCUGACCAAAAGGAAGAAGAGUCCAUUUGCGUCACCUUAGUAGUGGAAGAGGUGAGCAAGCCAAAUCCUGAGGCAGGUAUGGUGUGCCAAAAUGAAAAGGAUUACAGGGAAGUUGACCUAACAGGAAGUAGCAAGUCUGGGGUCUCAUUGAUGUUUGCUGGGUGUUCAGCCACAUUUACUUACUCUUUUGAAACAGUGCCAGAAUUUCAUUUUAUUUCUGGAGAACCACAUCUUUCCUCAUUCUCCUGUAUUCUUGUACAGAUGAUCCCAUUUGAUUUUGACUUCAGAGAUUGGCUCUGCUUCAAGCCUGGCCAGUUAGAACCUUCUGUUGGCUCUAGGGACUGGGUCAGGGUGGGUACAUAACCUAAUCAGAGCCAUUGAGUGGAAAUGUGGGACUCUUGGUGAGCUGGUGACAGAAGCAUGCCUUGCCUUCUGCUGGUGUGAACAUGGGAAGCUGUGGACUAGGAGCUGCUGCGAGCCACUUUCCCAUCUGAGACUAAUGUCAGCCAAGAUAGAAAGUUGAAAUCGUCACUGUAGAAUAUGCAGCCCACGAGGGCAGGAACCUUGGCUUUAUUUUUAAAUCUUUUGUUAUUAUUAUUGACACAUCACUCACAUAUAGAAAAAUGCACAAAACAGAUGUUUGAGUCAAAAAUUAUUACUAAGUGAAUACACCUUUUACUUUUACCCAGAUCAAGAAAUGAAACAACUAAGGAAGCUGAGGCAGAAGGAUGGCCAAGUUAGAUGCCUGCAGCCUGGGCUACAUAGUGAGACUUUGUCUCAAAAAGUCAAAAGAAAAAAGAAAAAAAAUUAAAUGGGACAUUACGCCCCAUGCACCUCUUGAAUACUAUAAUCUCUAUCCUCUUUACCAUUAAUACUAUAGUUUUAAAAUUUAUAUAAAUGUGUGUAUCUAGCUUCUGUCACUCAACAUUAUUGUAGAGAAUGCACAUAUAUUUCUAAUGGCUGUAUUCCUAAAUAUAGAACUGAAGUAUCUGUGUGUUCAGCUUUAGAAGAUAUUAGCAAAUUAUUUUCCAACAUGAUCGUACCAAUUUAGUCUUUUACCUUAAUAUAUACUUAUCACUCAACAUCCUACACAAUGUUUAACUUUAUCAGUGUUUUAAAAUGUAGAUGUGAGGUAUAUUAUUGUUUUUUUGGGUUUUGUGGCUUACUUUUUGUGUGUGUGCAGUGGCGGUGGUGGUACGGGGGAUUGAGCUACCGUCCCAGUCUUUUCUUCUCUUUUCAUUCCUUUUCCUUGAGACAGAGUCUCACUAAGUUGCCCAGGCUGCCUUCACACUUGCCAUUCUCCUGCCUCAGCCUUCUGAGUAGCUGGGAUUAUAGGCCUGUGCCAUUGUGCCUGGAUUAAAUUUUUAUCUUUAAAAAUAUGCCAGAUUAGAAGUCCUUUUUACUUGCAUGUGUUAGAAAUUCCUUCUCCCACUCUGUGGCUUGCCUUUUCAUUCUCUUAAUGUUGCCAUAUAAUAAAUGUUAAUGUACUCAAAUUUACUCAAAGUUUCCCUUAUGGUGGUUCUUUUUGUGUCCUAGUAUAAAAUUUUUUCUCUUAUCAUCCAUUCUCUUUAACAUUUAGAGCUAUAAUCCACAUGGAAUUAAAUUUUUGUGUAGGGUAAAAAGUAGAGUAUGUUUUUUUUCUUUUGACUGAGCAGUAUUUAUUUCAAAAGACUGUUCUUUUCUUACUUCUUUGUGUUGUUACAUUUUCCAUAAAUCAAGAGUUUAUAUAUUCACAGACAUGUUUCAGGAUCUCUAUAGUCUUUGAUGCAUCUUUUUGUCUAUCUUCAUAUUAAAAACCUUACUAUACUAAUAUGAUACUAUGUUUUAGGUUUGUUUGUUUGUUUGUUUGUGACAAGGUUUUGGUAUGUAGUCUAAGCUGGCCUCAAACCUGCAGCAAUCCUCCUGCCUCAGCCUCUUGAGUACUGGAAUUACAGGCAUGUGCCACCCUGCCCUGCCUCUCUAUUUUAGUUUUAUAAUAAACUUGAUAGCAGAUAGACUAAGUCUCCCCACCUUGUUCUUUUUAAGACUGU